UACGAAGGGUGCUAGCGUUGCUCGGAAUCACUGGGCGUAAAGCGCACGUAGGCGGACUCUUAAGUCGGUGGUGAAAUCCUGGAGCUCAACUCCAGAACUGCCUUCGAUACUGAGAGUCUCGAGUCCGGGAGAGGUGAGUGGAACUGCGAGUGUAGAGGUGAAGUUCGUAGAUAUUCGCAAGAACACCAGUGGCGAAGGCGGCUCACUGGCCCGGUACUGACGCUGAGGUGCGAAAGCGUGGGGAGCAAACAGG
This 253-nucleotide ribosomal RNA is filed under the name uncultured bacterium. Its description in RNAcentral is "partial 16S ribosomal RNA". It matches the Rfam family "Bacterial small subunit ribosomal RNA", at positions 524 to 776 of the family's 1533-position model. The record is from RNAcentral.